CACGUAGGCGGCCAUUCAAGUCAGAGGUGAAAUCCCGGGGCUCAACCUCGGAAUUGCCUUUGAUACUGGGUGUCUUGAGUAUGAGAGAGGUGUGUGGAACUCCGAGUGUAGAGGUGAAAUUCGUAGAUAUUCGGAAGAACACCAGUGGCGAAGGCGACACACUGGCUCAUUACUGACGCUGAGGCUCGAAAGCGUGGGGAGCAAACA
Molecule: ribosomal RNA, 207 nt
Filed under: uncultured bacterium
Lineage: Bacteria
Description: partial 16S ribosomal RNA
Rfam family: Bacterial small subunit ribosomal RNA
Source: RNAcentral